Molecule: transfer RNA, 75 nt
Filed under: Planctomycetota bacterium
Lineage: Bacteria; Pseudomonadati; Planctomycetota
Description: Planctomycetes bacterium tRNA-Pro
Rfam family: tRNA
About the family: Transfer RNA (tRNA) molecules are approximately 80 nucleotides in length. Their secondary structure includes four short double-helical elements and three loops (D, anti-codon, and T loops). Further hydrogen bonds mediate the characteristic L-shaped molecular structure. tRNAs have two regions of fundamental functional importance: the anti-codon, which is responsible for specific mRNA codon recognition, and the 3' end, to which the tRNAs corresponding amino acid is attached (by aminoacyl-tRNA synthetases). tRNAs cope with the degeneracy of the genetic code in two manners: having more than one tRNA (with a specific anti-codon) for a particular amino acid; and 'wobble' base-pairing, i.e. permitting non-standard base-pairing at the 3rd anti-codon position.
Source: RNAcentral
CGGGGUGUAGCUCAGCCUGGUCAGAGCGCGUGGUUUGGGACCACGAGAUCGCCGGUUCGAAUCCAGUCCCCCGAA